AUCUAAAUAGCUUAAUUAAGAGAGCAUAACAUUGAAGCUGUUAAGGUGGUAAUGACUUUUAGGUA
Molecule: transfer RNA, 65 nt
Filed under: Phyllomimus sinicus
Lineage: Eukaryota; Metazoa; Arthropoda; Insecta; Orthoptera; Tettigoniidae
Description: tRNA-Phe
Source: RNAcentral